Long non-coding RNA from Micropterus dolomieu (smallmouth bass), 812 nucleotides. RefSeq lists it as uncharacterized. The record is from RefSeq and is a predicted model, not a curated record. NCBI's taxonomy places the organism in Eukaryota, Metazoa, Chordata, Actinopteri, Centrarchiformes, Centrarchidae. The transcript has 2 exons.
GCGAAAUUGUCGCUACUGUGAUCAAGAGUUGGGCAUUAGCCAUAUAUUCUUACAGUACCACAAACAUGCGGAAAGUGGCCACCACGUUAGCUAAUACAGGCGUAUGGGCCAGAUAGUUCUGGUUCUCGCUCUCUGUCACACACGCACACACACUGAGCUAACGUUAGCUAGCAUGUUAAGCUAGCCGGCCAGACAGCCGCAAACCCAAGUAAAGUAUCUACCGAUAAACGUUAGAACACCAUCGACUGCGGCGGUAGCUGCUCCGCCGGGCGCUGCCCAGUUGCUAAUGGUAACUUCAGUAGCAGGGACAGGACUGUGGGGAGGCCAGAGACGCUACAGAGGAGGGAGAUGUGUCACCGGCGGAGAACCAAGAGAGGGACACAGAGACGCUACAGAGGAGGGAGAUGUGUCACCGGCGGAGAACCAAGAGAGGGACACAGAGACGCUACAGAGGAGGGAGAUGUGUCACCGGCGGAGAACCAAAUCAUGUACAUAAAGACGUCUCCAGCUAGACUCGGCGUUAGCAUGUAAACAUAAAGUUGUUCCUGUGAAACAAGUUAUUGGCAAUUAAAAAGUUAAUAGAAAAUAAUUGAACUUGUGUAACUUGGUGUGCUGCUGGAGCAAGUGCAUUCUGUGACCGGACACCAUGUUUUCCCAUGAUUCAGUAUGAUAGCCGUACUGACCUCCUUUGAAAAAGUAACUUCAUGUAAACAUUUUUCUUUUUAGUUUACGGUAUUUGUACAAAUUAACAUUUUAAGUAUUGAGAUGUACAAUUGCUAAGGUUACACAAAAAAUAAAUUCAAACAGGCCUG